CCUACGGGCGGCUGCAGUGAGGAAUAUUGGUCAAUGGCCGGAAGGCUGAACCAGCCAAGCCGCGUGAAGGACGAAGGUGCUAAGCAUUGUAAACUUCUUUUGUCAAGGGACAAAAUCAGGCUCGAGAGCCUGACCGAGGGUCCUUGAAGAAAAAGCAUCGGCUAACUCGGUGCCAGCAGCCGCGGUAAUACGGAGGAUGCGAGCGUUAUCCGGAUUUAUUGGGUUUAAAGGGUGCGCAGGCGGACAGUUAGGUCGGCGGGAAAAGCCCGGGGCUCAACACCGGGGAGCCGUUGAAACUGGCUGUCUUGAGAUGUCGAGAGGUAUGCGGAAUGCGCAGUGUAGCGGUGAAAUGCUUAGAUAUUGCGAAGAACUCCGAUUGCGAAGGCAGCAUACCGGCGGCGAACUGACGCUGAGGCACGAAAGCGUGGGUAUCGAACAGGAUUAGAUACCCGAGUAGUC
This 459-nucleotide ribosomal RNA is filed under the name uncultured bacterium. RNAcentral's name for it is "partial 16S ribosomal RNA". It matches the Rfam family "Bacterial small subunit ribosomal RNA", at positions 338 to 795 of the family's 1533-position model. The record is from RNAcentral.